CAAAGAAUAGUUUAAAGUAAAAUUCUAACUUUGGGAGUUAGGGGUGGGGGUUAAAGUCCCUCUUCUUUGA
Molecule: transfer RNA, 70 nt
Filed under: Taeniacara candidi
Lineage: Eukaryota; Metazoa; Chordata; Actinopteri; Cichliformes; Cichlidae
Description: tRNA-Pro
Rfam family: tRNA
About the family: Transfer RNA (tRNA) molecules are approximately 80 nucleotides in length. Their secondary structure includes four short double-helical elements and three loops (D, anti-codon, and T loops).
Source: RNAcentral